Marmota flaviventris (yellow-bellied marmot) is the source of this 2611-nucleotide RNA transcript. It is a transcript of the gene named NF2, moesin-ezrin-radixin like (MERLIN) tumor suppressor, with no coding region annotated. Lineage: Eukaryota; Metazoa; Chordata; Mammalia; Rodentia; Sciuridae. The record is from RefSeq and is a predicted model, not a curated record.
UUAGGUUGAGACGUGUGUAGCGUUCGGGGAGGCCUGAGGGCGGGGCGGGGAGCAGGCUGGAAGCUGCGGGCAGGGUACGCUUCCCGCGGGCGCGCGGAGCGAGGACGGUGACAGCCACGCGCGCGCGUGCGUGCCCUGCUGUGGCGCGGCCCCGCGACCCCCGUCGGCAGCCCAGAGGCGCGCCGGGUCUGGGCGGCCGCUGUCUAGGAUUCUUGUUCCCGGGCGUGCCCGGCGUCCCCGACCCCAGUCUCGGAGUGUCGGGCCUCGCCCGCCCCGUCGGCUCCUGCUAGCGUCUGCCCCUUGCCGCCGUCAGGGCCUGCCCCCCAACUCCCCUUUUUCGCUCCGGGGGCAGGGUCCUCGCGGCCCAUGCUGGCCGCUGGGGACCCACGCAACCCAGCUCGCUCUUGGGCCGGCCAGCCGGCCACCAUGGUGGCCCUGAGGCCUGUGCAACUCCUCCAGGGGGGCUAACAGGUCCAGAGCACAGGCUUUGGGGCGCGAGGGUCCCAGGUCUGAGCCCCGCGCCAUGGCCGGGGCCAUCGCUUCCCGCAUGAGCUUCAGCUCGCUCAAGAGGAAGCAGCCCAAGACGUUCACAGUGCGGAUCGUCACCAUGGACGCCGAGAUGGAGUUCAAUUGCGAGGUGAAAUGGAAAGGGAAGGACCUGUUUGAUUUGGUGUGCCGGACUCUGGGGCUGCGGGAAACCUGGUUUUUUGGACUACAGUACACAAUCAAGGACACCGUGGCCUGGCUCAAAAUGGACAAGAAGGUGCUGGAUCAUGAUGUUUCAAAGGAGGAGCCGGUCACCUUUCACUUCCUGGCCAAAUUUUAUCCUGAGAAUGCUGAGGAGGAGCUGGUUCAGGAGAUCACACAACACUUAUUCUUCUUGCAGGUGAAGAAGCAGAUUUUAGAGGAAAAGAUCUACUGCCCUCCUGAGGCUUCUGUGCUCCUGGCUUCUUAUGCUGUCCAGGCCAAGUAUGGUGACUACGACCCCUCAGUGCACAAACGGGGGUUUUUGGCCCAAGAAGAAUUGCUUCCAAAAAGGGUAAUAAAUCUAUAUCAGAUGACUCCAGAAAUGUGGGAGGAGAGAAUUACAGCUUGGUAUGCAGAGCACCGAGGCCGAGCCAGGGAUGAAGCUGAAAUGGAGUACUUGAAGAUAGCUCAGGACCUGGAGAUGUAUGGUGUGAACUACUUUGCAAUUCGGAAUAAAAAGGGCACAGAGCUGCUGCUUGGAGUAGAUGCUCUGGGACUUCACAUCUAUGACCCUGAGAACAGGCUGACCCCCAAGAUCUCCUUCCCGUGGAAUGAAAUCCGAAACAUCUCAUACAGCGACAAGGAGUUUACUAUUAAACCACUGGAUAAGAAAAUUGAUGUCUUCAAAUUUAACUCCUCAAAACUUCGUGUUAAUAAGCUGAUUCUUCAAUUAUGUAUUGGGAACCAUGACCUAUUUAUGAGGAGAAGGAAGGCCGAUUCUUUGGAAGUUCAGCAGAUGAAAGCCCAAGCCAGGGAGGAGAAGGCUAGAAAGCAGAUGGAGCGGCAGCGCCUAGCUCGAGAGAAACAGAUGCGGGAGGAGGCUGAACGCACGAGGGAUGAGCUGGAGAGGAGGCUGCUACAGAUGAAGGAAGAAGCCACGAUGGCCAAUGAAGCACUGAUGCGGUCAGAGGAGACAGCCGACCUGUUGGCUGAAAAGGCCCAGAUCACCGAGGAAGAGGCCAAACUCCUGGCCCAGAAAGCCGCAGAGGCAGAGCAGGAGAUGCAGCGCAUUAAGGCCACAGCCAUUCGGACAGAGGAAGAGAAACGCCUCAUGGAGCAGAAGGUGCUGGAGGCUGAGGUGCUAGCACUGAAGAUGGCUGAGGAGUCAGAGAGGAGGGCCAAGGAGGCAGAUCAGUUGAAGCAGGACCUGCAGGAAGCCCGUGAGGCAGAGCGAAGAGCCAAGCAGAAGCUUCUGGAAAUCGCCACCAAGCCCACAUACCCGCCCAUGAACCCAAUUCCAGCACCGUUGCCUCCUGACAUACCAAGCUUCAACCUCAUUGGUGACAGCCUGUCUUUUGACUUCAAGGAUACUGACAUGAAACGGCUUUCCAUGGAAAUAGAGAAAGAAAAAGUGGAAUAUAUGGAGAAGAGCAAGCAUCUCCAGGAGCAGCUUAAUGAGCUCAAGACAGAAAUCGAGGCCUUGAAACUAAAAGAAAGGGAAACAGCUUUGGACAUUCUGCACAAUGAGAAUUCGGACAGAGGUGGCACCAGCAGCAAGCACAAUACCAUUAAAAAGCCUCAAGCCCAAGGCAGAAGACCUAUCUGCAUUUGAGCCCUCAAACUCACUUUGCAGAGUGCCAAGUCUCGAGUGGCCUUCUUUGAAGAGCUCUAACAGGGCUGGGGCCUCACAGCCCCUGGCGGAGCAGCCUUGGCAAGGAUUCAGCCUCUCCCAGUGGCCCUGGGGCCAAGCCGGCCCUCGUGGGAUUCCAGGGACGCUGCAUCCAUUUUCAGAGAUGUCAAGCAGCACUUCUUCCUGUAGGGCCUGACUCACGCCUCCUGUCAGGACCAGACCUUGGAAGGCUUUUUCUAUUCUGGGGACUGUUGUAAUUUAAGUGAUUGUUUUAAUAAAAAUUCUAAGCUCUAA